GGUUCGAUCAUGGCCCAGAUUGAUAACCGCCGGCGGGAUGCUUUACACAUGCAAGCCGAAUGGCAGCACGACUUCGGUCUGUGGGCGAGUGGCGAACGGGUGAGUAAUGUGAUCGGAACGUGCCUGCAACGGGGAUACCCACGCGAAAGCAGCUAAUACCGGCCGCCGCCCUUCGGGGGAAAGCGGGGACCUUCGGCCUCGCACCAGGGAGCGGCCGGAUAUCGGAUUAGCUGAAGCAGGGUAACGGCUCACCAAGGGCGACGAUCCGUAGCUGGUUUGAGAGACGACCGGCCACACUGGGACUGGAGAUUAUCGGCCCAGACUUUCGCUGGGGAGGCAGCAGUGGGAAUUUUGGACAAUGGGAAACCCCGAUCCAGCCAUCCUGGCGUGUGCGAUGAAGGCCUUCGGGUUGUAAAGCACUUUUGGCAGGAAAGAAACGGCACGGCACAAUACCCUGCACUGACGGUACCGCAGAAUAAGCACCGCCAACUACGUGCCAGCAGCCGCGGUAAUACGUAGGGUGCAAGCGUUAAUCGGAAUUACUGGGGCGUAAAGCGCAGGCGGCCUGGAAAGAAAGAUGUGAAAUCCCAGAGCUACUUAACUUUGAACUGCAUUUUGAACUACCGAGCUAGAGUGUCAGAGGGAGGUGGAAUUCCGCGUAGCAGUGAAAUGCGUAGAUAUGCGAGGAACACCGAUGGCGAAGGCAGCCUCCUGGGAUAACACUGACGCUCAUGCACGAAAGCGUGGGGAGCAAACAGGAUUAGAUAAUCCCUGGUAGUCCACGCCCUAAACGAUGUCAACUAGCUGUUGGGGCUCUGGCCUGGUAGCGCAGCUAACGCGUGAAGUUUAUCCGCCCAGUACGGGUCGCAAGAUUAAAACUCAAAGGAAUUGACGGGGACCCGCACAAGCGGUGGAUGAUGCGGAUUAAUUCGAUGCAACGCGAAAAACUCCACUACCCUUUGACAUGUCUGGAAUCCCGAAGAGAUUUGGGAGUGCCUGCAAGAGAACCGGAACACAGGUGCUGCAUGGCUGUCAGCUCGUCGAGAUGCUGGGUUAAGUCCCGCAACGAGCGCAACCCUUGUCAUUAGUUGCUACGAAAGGGCACUUAAUGGGACUGCCGGUGACAAACCGAGGAAGGUGAUGACGUCAAGUCCUCAUGGCCCUUAUGGGUAGGGCUUCACACGUCAUACAAUGGUCGGGACAGAGGGUCGCCAACCCGCGAGGGGGAGCCAAUCCCAGAAACCCGAUCGAACCGGAUCGCAGUCUGCAACCUGACUGCGGAAGUCGAAUCGCUAGUAAUCGCGGAUCAGCAUGUCGCGGUGAAUAUUCCCGGUCUUGUACACCGCCCGUCACACCAUGGGAGUGGGUUUUACCAGGCAGUUAAUGCAACUGUAAGGAGGGCGAUUACCAGGUAGGAUUCAUGACUGGGGUGAAGUCGUGUCGCGUAA
This 1448-nucleotide ribosomal RNA is filed under the name uncultured Bordetella sp. RNAcentral describes it as "partial 16S-23S ribosomal RNA intergenic spacer". It matches the Rfam family "Bacterial small subunit ribosomal RNA". Lineage: Bacteria; Pseudomonadati; Pseudomonadota; Betaproteobacteria; Burkholderiales; Alcaligenaceae. The record is from RNAcentral.